This 274-nucleotide RNase P RNA is filed under the name Microtus ochrogaster (prairie vole). RNAcentral's name for it is "Nuclear RNase P (ENSMOCG00000011943.1)". It matches the Rfam family "Nuclear RNase P". From Rfam's summary of the family: Ribonuclease P (RNase P) is a ubiquitous endoribonuclease, found in archaea, bacteria and eukarya as well as chloroplasts and mitochondria. Its best characterised activity is the generation of mature 5'-ends of tRNAs by cleaving the 5'-leader elements of precursor-tRNAs. The record is from RNAcentral. Lineage: Eukaryota; Metazoa; Chordata; Mammalia; Rodentia; Cricetidae.
GGCGGAGGAAGCUCAUCAGCGGGGCCACGCGCUGAGUGCUCGUCACUCCCCGGCCCCUGGGAAGGUCUGAGACUGGGCCCUCUCCCCCCGCGGUGAGUUCCCAGAGAGCAGGGCUCCGCGCGCAGGCAGACUGGGCAGGAGAGGCCCGCACCCCCAUGGCGGGCGGAUGCCCCCCUCGCCGGAGCUUGGAACAGACUCAAGGCCGGCGGCACGAGUUCAAUGGCUGAGGUGAGGCACGCGCCUCAUAGCCCAAUUCAGACUACUCUCCCCCGCC